This 634-nucleotide ribosomal RNA is filed under the name Scylla serrata (giant mud crab). Its description in RNAcentral is "partial 12S ribosomal RNA". Lineage: Eukaryota; Metazoa; Arthropoda; Malacostraca; Decapoda; Portunidae. The record is from RNAcentral.
CAAAGAUUAUUAUACAACCUAAGUAUUUAAAGUUAUGUACUUGAAAUUUGAAGAAUUUGGCGGUGAUUUAGUCUUGUCAAAGGAACCUGUUUUUGAAUCGAUACACCACGAAAAAUCUUACUUAAGCUUGUUGUAGUAUGUAUACCAUCAUUAUUAGGUAAUUUUUAUAGAAUAAAUUACUGUAUAUUUGUUAAUAACGUUAAAUAUAUUAAAUCAAGGUGCAGCUAAUGCUUAAGUUAAAAUGGGUUACAAUAAAAUUUAUUUAAUACGGAAUAUCAAUUUAAACAGUUGAUUAGAAGGAGGAUUUGAUUGUAAAGUAAGUUUAAUAAGCUUAGUUAGAUAUAAGCUCUAAAUCAUGUACACACCGCCCGCUCACCCACAUACAAAAAAGUGGGUUCAUAAUGGGCCUUUACGAGUAGGGGCUACCACACGUGCUAACAAUUGUCUUCAAACAGUUGGGCAGCCAACUUUGCGAAAGUGAGCGAAUCCCAAAAAGUGGGGGCGGGAGUCCCGGAAUGCCCCCCCCCCACCUCAACUCCAUGAAGUCGGAAAUCGUUAGUAAUCGUGGAUCAAAAAUGCUACGGGUGAAUACCUUCCCGGGCCUUUGAACACACCGGCCCGUCACCCUUCAAAA